UACGUAGGUCCCGAGCGUUGUCCGGAUUUAUUGGGUUUAAAGGGUGCGCAGGCGGCACGGCAAGCCGGCGGUCAAAUCGCGGGGCUCAACCCCGCCCAGCCGUCGGAGCUGCCGGGCUAGAGUGGGCGAGAAGUGCGCGGAAUGCGUGGUGUAGCGGUGAAAUGCAUAGAUAUCACGCAGAACUCCGAUUGCGAAGGCAGCGCACCGGCGCCCUACUGACGCUCAGGCACGAAAGCGUGGGUAUCGAACAGG
Molecule: ribosomal RNA, 252 nt
Filed under: uncultured bacterium
Lineage: Bacteria
Description: partial 16S ribosomal RNA
Rfam family: Bacterial small subunit ribosomal RNA
Source: RNAcentral